RNAcentral lists this small RNA (135 nucleotides) under Flavobacterium caeni. RNAcentral's name for it is "Flavo-1 RNA". It matches the Rfam family "Flavo-1 RNA". The record is from RNAcentral. Lineage: Bacteria; Pseudomonadati; Bacteroidota; Flavobacteriia; Flavobacteriales; Flavobacteriaceae.
CCCGGAUGGCAGCGGAAAGCCUUUUGGAGAAAAACCUAUUUUUUUCACGACGAUGACGGCGACCAGCGGAAGCCGAAAGCGGCGCAGUAAAAAAAGGUUUUUGACAAAAGCUUGCAGCGUACAGCCGGAAUUGUG